GUCGAGAAUAAUUCACAAUGGGGGAAACCCUGAUGGUGCAACGCCGCGUGGAGGAUGAAGGUCUUCGGAUUGUAAACUCCUGUCAUCCGAGAGUAAGACCUGGCGGUAAAUAGCCGACAGGGUUGAUAGUAUCGGAAGAGGAAGGGACGGCUAACUUCGUGCCAGCAGCCGCGGUAAUACGAAGGUCCCAAGCGUUGUUCGGAAUCACUGGGCGUAAAGGGAGCGUAGGCGGCAUGGUAAGUCAGGUGUGAAAUCCCGGGGCUCAAACCCGGAACUGCACCCGAUACUGCCAGGCUAGAGGGUUGGAGAGGUGACUGGAAUUCUCGGUGUAGCAGUGAAAUGCGUGGAUAUCGAGAGGAACACUCGUGGCGAAGGCGAGUCACUGGACAACAUCUGACGCUGAGGCUCGAAGGCUAGGGGAGCAAAAGGGAUUAGAAACCCUUGUAGUCC
Molecule: ribosomal RNA, 450 nt
Filed under: uncultured bacterium
Lineage: Bacteria
Description: partial 16S ribosomal RNA
Rfam family: Bacterial small subunit ribosomal RNA
Source: RNAcentral